AUUGAACGCUGGCGGCAUGCUUUACACAUGCAAGUCGAACGGUAAAAGGGAGCUUGCUCCGCUGCCGAGCGGCGAACGGGUGAGUAAUAUAUCGGCAACUACCCCCGAGUGGGGGGUAACGUCGCGGAAAUUCCGCUAAUACCGCAUACGGUCUACGGAUCUAAGCAGGGGUCCUUAAGGCCUUGUUCUCCUGGCGCGGCCGGUGUCUGAUUAGCUAGUUGGUGAGGUAAAGGCUCACCAAGGCGGCGAUGGGUAGCUGGUCUGAGAGGACGACCAGCCACACUGGGACUGAGACACGGCCCAGACUCCUACGGGAGGCAGCAGUGGGGAAUCUUGCGCAAAGCGCGAAAGCGUGACGCAGCAACGCCGCGUGGGGGAAGAAGGCCUUCGGGUUGUAAAGCCCUUUCAGGAGGGAAGAAGGUUCGGCGGUGAAUAGCCGUCCGGACUGACGGUACCUCCACAAGAAGCCCCGGCUAACUACGUG
RNAcentral lists this ribosomal RNA (484 nucleotides) under uncultured bacterium. RNAcentral's name for it is "partial 16S ribosomal RNA". It matches the Rfam family "Bacterial small subunit ribosomal RNA", at positions 29 to 507 of the family's 1533-position model. The record is from RNAcentral.